AGUGUUUACAGCUUCCUGCUUAUGGCAACAAGGAAGCAGAACGCAGAGUGAUGAGAGAUUUAUGUGGAUAUGAUAGCACUGGACACUUCGAGGCUCCAUUGGCAAAACAUGCGGCAAAUAGGAAACCAAGGGUAGACCUUUGACAUUUAAGAAGUAUAUGCCCUAAGAUUUCUACAGAUCCUGAAAUUCAUCACUACGGCAGAAUCACGCAUCUUAUGUGUCUCCUUGGAAGAAAAUCACUAUGUGAAGCUAACACUUUAAUGAAUGAGGAGUUAUGUUCUGCUUCCUUGAAUAGCUACAUAAAUUAUUUGGAAUUAUUCUCCAAGGGAAACACGUCUGUUCUCUCCGAAAUUAUUCAGUCAUCUAUUUGUAUCAGUAUGGACUCAUGGAUAUAUAUUUUUGUUAUAUUCUGACACUACUUCAUUUUGUUACUCAAAUAGUUCCAGCUUUGGCUAUUGGGAACCCCUUCAGAAUUUCGUUUGUUUGGUUAGUUGGUAGUUGGCUCUGUAUUAUUGUUGUUGUUAUUUUGUUUUUCCCCAUUUCCUUAUUUUCUGGCAUUCUGCAGGCUCUUCUGGAAUUUUUCAUGCCUAAUUCCUGGAAUCAGCCAUUUCUCCAAAGAACUCUGUUUUCUUUCUGUGGAGAAUGGUAUUAGAAACCAACAUCUGGGAGUUAGGUGUGUUUAUUGCAACUGGGGUGUAGUUUUCUAAGAUAAGGCUGUUUUUUAAAACAGUAUAGUACUUCUCCAUAUUUGUUUCUUAAUUAUUCAAUUUGAGUUUUCAGUAAAAAUUCUAACAUUCUUACAUUUUUUUCAAACCAAUUUAAAAAGGCUAAUUUAGAAGAAGUUUGCAAAUAACACCCAAACAUUGUCAAGUAAUACAAACAUUGCCAUUAUUUUAUGAUCAGACUUCCCUUCUAUCCAAAAUAUCAGUUUUAUCAAGCUUGAUGGUUAAAUAUCUAAUCAAAUCAAGAAUAAAAACGUUUCACUCUAA
Long non-coding RNA from Homo sapiens (human), 989 nucleotides. RefSeq lists it as uncharacterized. The transcript is spliced from 3 exons. The record is from RefSeq and is a predicted model, not a curated record. Lineage: Eukaryota; Metazoa; Chordata; Mammalia; Primates; Hominidae.